RNAcentral lists this long non-coding RNA (712 nucleotides) under Chrysemys picta bellii (western painted turtle). RNAcentral's name for it is "lncRNA (ENSCPBG00000000705.1)". Lineage: Eukaryota; Metazoa; Chordata; Testudines; Emydidae. The record is from RNAcentral.
UACACAGGAGUGUAAGAGAAUGUCUUGCCCCCCAGUCCUGAGACUGUCCCGUUUCCUUCCAGGACUGGAUAUGUUCAAACUUCAGGGGUGCCUUCUGGACAGGCCUGAAUGAUCAGACGGAUGAAUCCGUAUUUCAGUGGACUACACGCGAUCCCAUCACCAGGCAGCUCGCGGAGCACUUACGAGACGACCUGGCGGACGGCGGCCUGAAGGAUUGUGUGUGGCUGGAUACAGCAAGCGGACUUCUAACGGAUGCCAGCUGUGAGGAGAGAAAGCCGUUCAUCUGCAAGUGCAGCGAGGCUACCGAGUGGUUUGUGAAGCAGCCUGGCCGGGGCGUGGUGGGAGACCCAGCAUUCCUGCACCCCUCUGCCGAGAGCCUGGAACAGGCCAAGCAGGAGUGCCUCCGUGAGAGGAGUGUGUGCGCAGGCGUUCUGCAGGCUGGGACAGGCGUCUACCUGAUCAGCUCCAAGGCUGGCAUCAUCUCCCGACCCAACUCCACACUCUACAUAUGGACCAUAUGUGCUGAGGGGUUCAGCGGCCUGCGCUGUCAUAGAUACACUGCCCCCCAAGAGCGACCCCCAUGUGAUUGCAGUGGCAGAGUCCGGGUGUCGGCAACCCAAGUGUGUGGUGUCCCUGUGCAGAGCUGCAUUGACUACUGUCGCCACACAACGGCCCAGAGCAACUGCUCCCUCUGCCUGCCUCUCUGCUCUGG